Molecule: ribosomal RNA, 530 nt
Filed under: uncultured bacterium
Lineage: Bacteria
Description: bacterial SSU rRNA
Rfam family: Bacterial small subunit ribosomal RNA
Source: RNAcentral
AGCAAAUAGAUACCCAGGUAGUCCACGCCCUAAACGAUGGAUACUAGGCGUAGGAGGUAUCGACCCCUCCUGUGCCGCAGCAAACGCAUUAAGUAUCCCGCCUGGGGAGUACGGCCGCAAGGCUGAAACUCAAAUGAAUUGACGGGGACCCGCACAAGCGGUGGAGCAUGUGGAUUAAUUCGAUACUAACCGAAGAACCUUACCCACUCUUGACAUUGAAGGAAAGCUCUAGAGAUAGGGCCCUCUCCCACAAGGAGACCUGAAAACAGAUGUUGCAUGGCUGUCGUCAGCUCGUGCCGUGAGGUGUACGGUUAAGUCCGCCAACGAGCGCAACCCUCGUUCUGUGUUACCAGCGAGUAAAGUCGGGCACUCACAGGAGACCGCCGGUGUAAGCCGGAGGAAGGUGGGGAUGAUGUCAAGUCAGCAUGGCUCUUACGAGUGGGGCUUCACACAUGCUACAAUGGGCGCAACAAAGGGCCGCGAUACCGUGAGGUGGAGCAAAUCCCAAAAAUACGUCCUCAGUUCAGAUU